AAAGCGUGGGGAGCGAACAGGCUUAGAUACCCUGGUAGUCCACGCUGUAAACGGUGGGUACUAGGUGUGGGGUCCAUUCCACGGGUUCCGUGCCGUAGCUAACGCUUUAAGUACCCCGCCUGGGGAGUACGGCCGCAAGGCUAAAACUCAAAGGAAUUGACGGGGCCCCGCACAAGCGGCGGAGCAUGCGGAUUAAUUCGAUGCAACGCGUAGAACCUUACCUGGGUUUGACAUGGAUCGGGAGCGCUCAGAGAUGGGUGUGCCUCUUUUGGGGUCGGUUCACAGGUGGUGCAUGGCUGUCGUCAGCUCGUGUCGUGAGAUGUUGGGUUAAGUCCCGCAACGAGCGCAACCCUUGUUCACUGUUGCCAGCAAUUCGGUUGGGGACUCAGUGGAGACCGCCGGGGUCAACUCGGAGGAAGGUGGGGAUGACGUCAAGUCAUCAUGCCCCUUAUGUCCAGG
This 459-nucleotide ribosomal RNA is filed under the name 'Opuntia ficus-indica' phytoplasma. Its description in RNAcentral is "bacterial SSU rRNA". It matches the Rfam family "Bacterial small subunit ribosomal RNA", at positions 756 to 1212 of the family's 1533-position model. The record is from RNAcentral. Lineage: Bacteria; Bacillati; Mycoplasmatota; Mollicutes; Acholeplasmatales; Acholeplasmataceae.